RNAcentral lists this ribosomal RNA (459 nucleotides) under uncultured bacterium. RNAcentral describes it as "partial 16S ribosomal RNA". It matches the Rfam family "Bacterial small subunit ribosomal RNA", at positions 338 to 795 of the family's 1533-position model. The record is from RNAcentral.
CCUACGGGGGGCAGCAGUGAGGAAUAUUGGUCAAUGGACGAGAGUCUGAACCAGCCAAGUAGCGUGAAGGAUGACUGCCCUAUGGGUUGUAAACUUCUUUUAUAAAGGAAUAAAACGAGGCACGUGUGCCUUUUUGCAUGUACUUUAUGAAUAAGGAUCGGCUAACUCCGUGCCAGCAGCCGCGGUAAUACGGAGGAUCCGAGCGUUAUCCGGAUUUAUUGGGUUUAAAGGGAGCGUAGAUGGGUUGUUAAGUCAGUGGUGAAAUUUUGCGGCUCAACCGUAAAAUUGCAAUUGAUACUGGCAGUCUUGAGUACAGUUGAGGUAGGCGGAAUUCGGGGUGUAGCGGUGAAAUGCUUAGAUAUCACGAAGAACCCCGAUUGCGAAGGCAGCUUACUAAACUGUGACUGACAUUGAUGCUCGAAAGUGUGGGUAUCAAACAGGAUUAGAUACCCUGUAGUC